RNAcentral lists this long non-coding RNA (250 nucleotides) under Lathyrus oleraceus (garden pea). RNAcentral's name for it is "Pisum sativum (pea) long non-coding RNA (PSAT_LNC000470)". Lineage: Eukaryota; Viridiplantae; Streptophyta; Magnoliopsida; Fabales; Fabaceae. The record is from RNAcentral.
AAUAUGAUAGAGCUUUUUUUUACUAUAUUAGGUGUACAAGAAGAAGUGGUUAUCUGAUGGCAAUUGCCAAUCUUGAUGAAUAUGAUCAUGACAUUGAUGGUGUUUUUCAAUGGAUGUGAUUAAUGCGUUGACGUUAAUCAUUGAACCUCUUAGAAGGUUAAAAUGAUAAAUAUAUAAUAGAUUUAUCAGUCUUGUAUCAUGGACCAACUCUCACAUCAAAUGAUUCGUGGAGAAGGAAAGUCGAUGGUGG